Molecule: long non-coding RNA, 755 nt
Filed under: Marmota monax (woodchuck)
Lineage: Eukaryota; Metazoa; Chordata; Mammalia; Rodentia; Sciuridae
Source: RNAcentral
GGGACGCUGACAGAGGGGAGGAAUGUUCAUGUCUUUUCUCAGAAUAGGUGGAGAACACAAGUGCCACCUGUUUUCACUAUUUGGGGGUCUGGUGUUCUGACAUGUGACUGGUAGGUCUCUUUAGCCUUAAAGGUGGGGCAAGUCUAGGUCAAGUUAACCCUGUACCGCAGUUCUGGACAAGACAUGUCUCAGCUGACCAGCAGGUCCACAUGCAAAACAGUAGGAUCUGACCCAGGGUUAAGGUAUCAAAGGACACAGACACAAUAAAUAGGAAGGCAGAGAUGCCAAGCAUUUUCAUCCCAUUUCAGUCACCCACAGGGACAUCCGCAGGCCCAAGUGAAGAGUCACUGUUUUUAGCAAAAACAGCCUUCAUGUCCCUGAAGAGUAACCUAGGCAACUAUAAAUGUCACACCGCCCAGGUCAGAGAUGUGAUCUACAGCAAAGCAAGUGGGCUUUGUGACUUUUAAGUCAACUAAGAGGAAAUGGGUUUGGGGCUCUAGCCCAGUGGCAGAGUGCUUGCUGAGUAAGUGAAAUUGUAUUUAGGUUUUUCCCCCCAAUAAUAGGGUAUGUCCUGAAUAUUAUCCUCUGAUUUAUCAUCCCCUCCUGAUUCUCCUCCUAACCCCAAGUAGGUCCCCAAACACUAGAACCUUCCUUUUCAGUUUAUACUGCAUAUGGAAAAUACUGAUUAUUCCUAAUUAAGCUCCUGCUCUUGACCUCCAGGGCAUUGCCCAGCUUGAACUCAUACCAAAGAGAUC